CUACAUGUACAUUCCCUGUGUGCUUGUGGGGAUAUAAAUAUGAGUGAGUGCAGGCAGGGGCUCAGUGAUCUGUAUCAGGCCUGUGUGCAGUGAUCAGUAUGGUGUCCCACAGCUGCUUGCUGCCUAUACUCAUGCUCUGGCUUCAGGGUUCCUAUGGGCAGAUUGUACUGACUCAGUCUCCAGAUUAUGUCUCUGUGUCACCAGGAGAAACUGUCACCCUCACAUGUAAAGUCAGUAGCAGUGUUGGCAAUGCCAUAGCCUGGUACCAACAGAAAUCAGGGCAGGCACCAAAGCUGCUGAUCUAUGACGCAAGCACCCGACACACAGGGACCCCAGAGCGGAUCAGUGGCAGUGGGUCUGGAACUGAUUUCACUCUUACAAUCAGCAGAAUGGAAGCAGAAGAUGCAGCAGAUUAUUACUGUCAGCAGUAUAAUCAGCUCCCUCUCACACAGUGAUACAGAGCUGAACAA
Molecule: non-coding RNA, 470 nt
Organism: Xenopus laevis (African clawed frog)
Lineage: Eukaryota; Metazoa; Chordata; Amphibia; Anura; Pipidae
Source: the annotation of a RefSeq genome assembly